GAUGAACGCUGGCGGCGUGCCUAAUACAUGCAAGUCGAGCGAACAGAUGAGGAGCUUGCUCCUCUGCCGUUAGCGGCGGACGGGUGAGUAACACGUGGAUAACCUACCUAUAAGACUGGGAUAACUUCGGGAAACCGGAGCUAAUACCGGAUAAUAUAUUGAACCGCAUGGUUCAAUAGUGAAAGACGGUUUUGCUGUCACUUAUAGAUGUAUCCGCGCCGCAUUAGCUAGUUGGUAAGGUAACGGCUUACCAAGGCAACGAUGCGUAGCCGACCUGAGAGGGUGAUCGGCCACACUGGAAAUGGGACACGGUCCAGACUCCUACGGGAGGCAGCAGUAGGGAAUCUUCCGCAAUGGGCGAAAGCCUGACGGAGCAACGCCGCGUGAGUGAUGAAGGGCUUCGGAUAGUAAAACUCUGUUAUUAGGGAAGAACAAAUGUGUAAGUAACUAUGCACGUCUUGACGGUACCAAAUCAGAAAGCCACGGCUAACUACGUG
RNAcentral lists this ribosomal RNA (497 nucleotides) under uncultured bacterium. RNAcentral's name for it is "partial 16S ribosomal RNA". It matches the Rfam family "Bacterial small subunit ribosomal RNA", at positions 28 to 507 of the family's 1533-position model. The record is from RNAcentral.